RNAcentral lists this long non-coding RNA (422 nucleotides) under Salvia miltiorrhiza (redroot sage). RNAcentral's name for it is "long non-coding RNA (SMIL_LNC001553)". Lineage: Eukaryota; Viridiplantae; Streptophyta; Magnoliopsida; Lamiales; Lamiaceae. The record is from RNAcentral.
GAAUCUUCGUCGGCGAAAAUGCGAGCAUGUCGCUGGAGGUGCCGUGAACGGCCGCAUAAGGUUUCAGCUAUUGGGGAAUGAGCUCCGUUGAUUUUGAUUUCACCUCAAAACUCCUCUGAAUCGAAUGCGAUGAGGAAUCGAGGGGAGUGACGUUCGACCCUGAUCUUCUUGUUCAGAACUUUUAGUUGGCGCUGUCUGUCGGGGCGACGCUUGUCUUCAGAUGUUCGCCGAGGGAGAAGGAUUGGCGCCACUAGCUUUUGCAGGCGGUAAGGCGGUAAGGAGGCGACUAUAGAAUUUUUGGGGAAAUUGCUUGGAGUUUUUUGGUCUUCGGUCGAUUAGGUGAAUAGAGAGACCGGCCGAUAGAUUCAAGAAGCGUGUGAUAGAGGAGGUUCACGGGAAUGGCGGCGUGACUACUAGAAAAA